Molecule: ribosomal RNA, 435 nt
Filed under: uncultured bacterium
Lineage: Bacteria
Description: partial 16S ribosomal RNA
Rfam family: Bacterial small subunit ribosomal RNA
Source: RNAcentral
AGCGAACGCUGGCGGCAGGCUUAACACAUGCAAGUCGAACGCAUCACUUCGGUGGUGAGUGGCAGACGGGUGAGUAACACGUGGGAACGUACCCUUCGAUCUGGGAUAACUUCGGGAAACUGGAGCUAAUACCGGAUACGCCCUUUUGGGGAAAGGUUUACUGUCGAAGGAUCGGCCCGCGUCUGAUUAGCUAGUUGGUGGGGUAACGGCCUACCAAGGCGACGAUCAGUAGCUGGUCUGAGAGGAUGAUCAGCCACACUGGGACUGAGACACGGCCCAGAAUCCUACGGGAGGCAGCAGUGGGGAAUAUUGGACAAUGGGCGCAAGCAUGAUCCAGCCAUGCCGGGUGAGUGAUGAAGGCCUUAGGGUUGUAAAGCUCUUUUGUCCGGGACGAUAAUGACGGUACCGGAAGAAUAAGCCCCGGCUAACUUCGUG